ACACGUAUAAAACAGAAUUUUUGUUUUGCAGGUGGUCCUCUUUCGUCCGUGAGAAGCGGCCGAGUUCUCUGCCACGUGAAGCCAAAAUAGGAAGGUGGCGCGCACACACGUAUAAAAGGAAUUGCAGAUCUUUCUUCUUCUUGGCCGUUCAAAGUCCGCCGAAACCCUACGAGAAAUAAAGAUGUUUAAAGUCCACCAAAACCCUACGAAACCCUACGAGAAAUAAAGACCGAAACCCUACGAGAAAUAAAGAUGUUUAAAGUCCACCAAAACCCUACGAGAAAUAAAGACGCCGCUGCAACUUUACGUAGAAGGGAGCCGCGAGGAUUCUGAAGCCGCCCG
RNAcentral lists this long non-coding RNA (342 nucleotides) under Eucalyptus grandis. RNAcentral's name for it is "long non-coding RNA (EGRA_LNC005079)". The record is from RNAcentral. Lineage: Eukaryota; Viridiplantae; Streptophyta; Magnoliopsida; Myrtales; Myrtaceae.